This 252-nucleotide ribosomal RNA is filed under the name uncultured prokaryote. Its description in RNAcentral is "partial 16S ribosomal RNA". It matches the Rfam family "Bacterial small subunit ribosomal RNA", at positions 525 to 775 of the family's 1533-position model. The record is from RNAcentral.
ACGUAGGAGGCGAGCGUUAUCCGGAUUUACUGGGCGUAAAGCGCGUGCAGGCGGUGCGAUAAGUCGUGCGUGAAAGCUCCCAGGCUUAACCGGGAGUGGACGUGCGAGACUGUCGGACUAGAGGCAGGUAGAGGCAAGUGGAAUUCCGGGUGUAGUGGUGGAAUGCGUAGAUAUCGGGAGGAACACCAGUGGCGAAAGCGGCUCUCUGGUUCAAUACUGACACUGAGAUGCGAAAGCGUGGGGAGCGAACGG